This 599-nucleotide long non-coding RNA is filed under the name Homo sapiens (human). RNAcentral describes it as "non-protein coding lnc-CEP63-5:1". The record is from RNAcentral. Lineage: Eukaryota; Metazoa; Chordata; Mammalia; Primates; Hominidae.
GUGGCUAAAAGCUACUCCACAAAACCAAAAGGCAAGAUGUUUGCUUAUGCCUUCUUUGUGCAGGCAUACAGAGAACCUAAGCAGAAAAACCCAAAGAUCCCUGUCAAUUUUUGCAAAAUUGUCCAAAAGUACACUGAGAAGUGGAAGACAAUGUCUGGGAAAGAGAAGUCUAAAUCUGAUGAAAUGGCAAAAGUAGAUAAAAUAUGCUAUGAUUCAGAAAUGAAGGAUUAUGGACUAUCUAAGGGAGGCAAAACAAAAAAAUAAAAAACAAAAAGGACCUCAAUGUCCCCAAAAGGUCACUGUCCAGAUUCUUCCUGUUCUGUUCAGAAUUCUGCCCCAAGAAUUCAGACCCUGGCAUCUCUAUUGGAGAUGUGGCAAAAAAGCUAGGUGAGAGGUGGAGUAAUUUAAGUGACACUAAAAAGCAGCUUUGCAUCACAAAGGCAACAAAGCUGAAGGAGAAGUAUGAGAAGGAUGUUGCUAACUGCAAGUCUAAAGGAAAAUCUGAUGGCGCAAAAGGUCCCACUAAAGUUGUCUGGACAAAGGUGGAAGAGAAAGGCAAAGAUGACGAGGAGGAAGAGGCGGAGGAGGAGAAUGAAUAA